Molecule: transfer RNA, 34 nt
Filed under: Tarentola mauritanica (Moorish gecko)
Lineage: Eukaryota; Metazoa; Chordata; Lepidosauria; Squamata; Phyllodactylidae
Description: partial tRNA-Pro
Source: RNAcentral
GGGACUAACGAUGGGAAUUGAUUCUCUUUUCUGA